GAUGAACGCUGGCGGCGUGCCUAAUACAUGCAAGUCGAGCGAACAGACGAGGAGCUUGCUCCUCUGACGUUAGCGGCGGACGGGUGAGUAACACGUGGAUAACCUACCUAUAAGACUGGGAUAACUUCGGGAAACCGGAGCUAAUACCGGAUAAUAUAUUGAACCGCAUGGUUCAAUAGUGAAAGACGGUUUUGCUGUCACUUAUAGAUGGAUCCGCGCCGCAUUAGCUAGGUGGUAAGGUAACGGCUUACCAAGGCAACGAUGCGUAGCCGACCUGAGAGGGAGAUCGACCACAUUGGAGAUGAGAAACGGUCCAGACUCCUACGGGAGGCAGCAGUAGGGAAUCUUCCGCGAUGGGGGAAAGCCUGACGGAGCAACGGCGCGUGAGUGAUGAAGGUCUUCGGAUCGAAAAACGCUGUUAUUUGGGAAGAACAACUGUGUAAGUAACUAUGCACGACUUGACGGCACCUAAGCAGAAAGCCACGGCUAACUACGUG
This 497-nucleotide ribosomal RNA is filed under the name uncultured bacterium. Its description in RNAcentral is "partial 16S ribosomal RNA". It matches the Rfam family "Bacterial small subunit ribosomal RNA", at positions 28 to 507 of the family's 1533-position model. The record is from RNAcentral.